UAAUACAGAGGGGGCAAGCGUUGUUCGGAAUUACUGGGCGUAAAGGGCGCGUAGGCGGCCUUUUAAGUCGAACGUGAAAUCCCCGGGCUCAACCCGGGAACUGCGUCCGAGACUGGAAGGCUCGAAUCCGGGAGAGGGAUGUGGAAUUCCAGGUGUAGCGGUGAAAUGCGUAGAUAUCUGGAGGAACAUCGGUGGCGAAGGCGGCAUCCUGGACCGGUAUUGACGCUGAGGCGCGAAAGCCAGGGGAGCAAACGGGAUUAGAUACCCCGGUAGUCCUGGCCCUAAACGAUGAAUGCUUGGUGUGGCGGGUAUCGAUCCCUGCCGUGCCGAAGCUAACGCAUUAAGCAUUCCGCCUGGGGAGUACGGUCGCAAGGCUG
Molecule: ribosomal RNA, 377 nt
Filed under: uncultured Acidobacteriota bacterium
Lineage: Bacteria; Pseudomonadati; Acidobacteriota
Description: bacterial SSU rRNA
Rfam family: Bacterial small subunit ribosomal RNA
Source: RNAcentral